This 369-nucleotide unclassified non-coding RNA is filed under the name fungal sp. Its description in RNAcentral is "partial internal transcribed spacer region". The stretch from base 1 to 46 matches the Rfam family "Eukaryotic small subunit ribosomal RNA", at positions 1786 to 1831 of the family's 1831-position model. Lineage: Eukaryota; Fungi. The record is from RNAcentral.
AAGUCGUAACAAGGUUUCCGUAGGUGAACCUGCGGAAGGAUCAUUAACACGUUCAACAACGUUCGAUCAAUCGAUCAACCACACCCAACCGUUGCACACCCUUGUGUGAGCCCUCUAGGGGGAUCGACACUUGGCAGCACUCGGCAUGUACUGUCUGACGGUAUAUGUCUUCUAUCCAAUCUCCCUUUUUUCACCCCUUUUUUUCAAUUGACUCACCCUACCAACCCCAAGUGGCCUGAUCAAAUGUGUCAUUUGCCUUGGGUGACGGACAGACUUUCUGCCCGGCCCAAGGUGGACGGACCGAACCAUAUGGAUGUUUCCAAAUGAGUUAUAUCAAUACAACUCUUAGCAAUGGAUAUCUUGGUUCUC